Molecule: ribosomal RNA, 462 nt
Filed under: uncultured bacterium
Lineage: Bacteria
Description: partial 16S ribosomal RNA
Rfam family: Bacterial small subunit ribosomal RNA
Source: RNAcentral
GACGAACGCUGGCGGCGUGCUUAACACAUGCAAGUCGAACGGAAAGGCCCUUCGGGGUACUCGAGUGGCGAACGGGUGAGUAACACGUGGGUGAUCUGCCCUGCACUUUGGGAUAAGCCUGGGAAACUGGGUCUAAUACCGAAUAGGACCACGCGCUUCAUGGUGUGUGGUGGAAAGCUUUUGCGGUGUGGGAUGGGCCCGCGGCCUAUCAGCUUGUUGGUGGGGUAAUGGCCUACCAAGGCGACGACGGGUAGCCGGCCUGAGAGGGUGACCGGCCGCACUGGGACUGAGAUACGGCCCAGACUCCUACGGGAGGCAGCAGUGGGGAAUAUUGCACAAUGGGCGCAAGCCUGAUGCAGCGACGCCGCGUGAGGGAUGACGGCCUUCGGGUUGUAAACCUCUUUCAAUAGGGACGAAGCGCAAGUGACGGUACCUAUAGAAGAAGCACCGGCCAACUACGUG